GGUAGGACAACCUGGGAGUGGAGAUGUUGGAGUUACAGCGAUGACCAUUAAAAAAACACUGAAAAGUAAAGCCAGUGUUGGACACAUUGUGUUGAUCAGGGACAAAGCAGCUGAAGCAGUUAAGUAAGGAAUGACACACUUUAAGGCAACUAUAAAUGCAUUGGUCAACAAAAAAGCGCUGACCAGAGCAGAGGCUGUGGACCUAACUGAGCAUGGCCAGAUGGAGGAGAGUGAGAGAGAAGAUCUGGUUAUGCAAGUGACAAGAGAACUACAGAAACGUUCAAAUGUUUAAAGUAAAACAAGAGUUUUGAAACCAAAUUGUGAAAUGUUUGAAGUUUUGCAUUUUUCCAUUUUCUUAAAUAAUACUUGUUUAACAGUGGAGACAAAAACACACAACAAACUUUCUUAUUUAUGCUUUUCUUUUAAUUUUUCUUAAGAAAAACAUUAUUACUGUAGAAUAAAUAUUAUAUAAUCAAAAGAGGUGACAUGCCAGUUUGUGAAGAUAGUCUAUUGUGGUUUGAGAACUAUGCAAGCUUGUGAGGGGAAGGUUGUCAAUGUAAACAAUUUGCAACGGCUAGUUGUCCAAC
Austrofundulus limnaeus is the source of this 587-nucleotide long non-coding RNA. RefSeq lists it as uncharacterized. The record is from RefSeq and is a predicted model, not a curated record. Lineage: Eukaryota; Metazoa; Chordata; Actinopteri; Cyprinodontiformes; Rivulidae. The transcript is spliced from 4 exons.